UACGUAGGGUGCGAGCGUUGUCCGGAAUUAUUGGGCGUAAAGGGCUCGUAGGCGGUUUGUCGCGUCGGGAGUGAAAUCCACUGGCUUAACUGGUGGCUUGCUUUCGAUACGGGCAGACUGGAGGUAUGCAGGGGAGAACGGAAUUCCUGGUGUAGCGGUGAAAUGCGCAGAUAUCGGGAGGAACACCAGUGGCGAAGGCGGCUCUCUGGGGUAUUUCUGACGCUGAGGCACGAAAGCCAGGGGAGCGAACGGG
Molecule: ribosomal RNA, 253 nt
Filed under: uncultured bacterium
Lineage: Bacteria
Description: partial 16S ribosomal RNA
Rfam family: Bacterial small subunit ribosomal RNA
Source: RNAcentral